Molecule: transfer RNA, 72 nt
Filed under: Araneus ventricosus
Lineage: Eukaryota; Metazoa; Arthropoda; Arachnida; Araneae; Araneidae
Description: tRNA-Ile
Source: RNAcentral
UGGCCCAUGGGGACUGAACCCACGACCUUCGCGUUAUUAGCACGACGUUCUAACCAACUGAGCAAAUGUACC